GAGCAACCGCCGGCGGAACGGGUGUCAUUGAUGUUGACAAGCAGAGAAUAUAUUCUGUUGCUUU
Molecule: transfer RNA, 64 nt
Filed under: Pupa strigosa
Lineage: Eukaryota; Metazoa; Mollusca; Gastropoda; Acteonidae
Description: tRNA-Ile
Source: RNAcentral